UCAGUCGACUCCUACGGGGAGGCAGCAGUGGGGGAAUAUUGCACAAUGGGCGCAAGCCUGAUGCAGCCAUGCCGCGUGUGUGAAGAAGGACCUUCGGGUUGUAAAGCACUUUCAGUCGUGAGGAAGGUAGUGUAGUUAAUAGCUGCAUUAUUUGACGUUAGCGACAGAAGAAGCACCGGCUAACUCCGUGCCAGCAGCCGCGGUAAUACGGAGGGUGCGAGCGUUAAUCGGAAUUACUGGGCGUAAAGCGCAUGCAGGUGGUUUGUUAAGUCAGAUGUGAAAGCCCGGGGCUCAACCUCGGAAUUGCAUUUGAAACUGGCAGACUAGAGUACUGUAGAGGGGGGUAGGAAUUUCAGGUGUAGCGGUGAAAUGCGUAGAGAUCUGAAGGAAUACCGGUGGCGAAGGCGGCCCCCUGGACAGAUACUGACACUCAGAUGCGAAAGCGUGGGGAGCAAACAGGAUUAGAUACCCUGGUAG
RNAcentral lists this ribosomal RNA (477 nucleotides) under uncultured bacterium. RNAcentral describes it as "bacterial SSU rRNA". It matches the Rfam family "Bacterial small subunit ribosomal RNA", at positions 328 to 793 of the family's 1533-position model. The record is from RNAcentral.